GGUGAUCGGGUGAGCGGCGGAGGGUUAGUAACGCGUGGGAACGUACCUUUUGGUAAGGAAUAGCCACUGGAAACGGUGAGUAAUACCUUAUACGCCCUUCGGGGGAAAGAUUUAUCGCCGAGAGAUCGGCCCGCGUUAGAUUAGGUAGUUGGUGGGGUAACGGCCUACCAAGCCUACGAUCUAUAGCUGGUUUUAGAGGAUGAUCAGCAACACUGGGACUGAGACACGGCCCAGACUCCUACGGGAGGCAACAGUGGGGAAUCUUGGACAAUGGGCGCAAGCCUGAUCCAGCCAUGCCGCGUGAGUGAUGAAGGCCCUAAGGUCGUAAAGCUCUUUCGCCAGGGAUGAUAAUGACAGUACCUGGUAAAGAAACCCCGGCUAACUCCGUGCCAGCAGCCGCGGUAAUACGGAGGGGGUUAGCGUUGUUCGGAAUUACUGGGCGUAAAGCGUACGUAGGCGGACUAUUAAGUCAGGGGUGAAAUCCCGGGGCUCAACCCCGGAACUGCCUUUGAUACUGGUAGUCUAGAGUUCGAGAGAGGUGAGUGGAAUUCCGAGUGUAGAGGUGAAAUUCGUAGAUAUUCGGAGGAACACCAGUGGCGAAGGCGGCUCACUGGCUCGAUACUGACGCUGUGGUACGAAAGUGUGGGGA
This 649-nucleotide ribosomal RNA is filed under the name uncultured bacterium. RNAcentral's name for it is "bacterial SSU rRNA". It matches the Rfam family "Bacterial small subunit ribosomal RNA", at positions 82 to 767 of the family's 1533-position model. The record is from RNAcentral.